GGUCGCCGACUCGUUACAGGAGAAAUGACACAAUACAUAUAUGGCACAUAGGUUGCAAAGAAUAAUACACAUAAAUCUUCUCCAUAUCUCUUUUUCGGUCAAGCCGGGAACUGCGGGCGUGUCGUGCAUGGGUCAUGUUCAUCACAUCAUUAGAUUUUUAUUAUCUGUUCACGGGAGGAUUAAUCUUGUUCUGAACACCCAACAUGCCACAAAACGCCUCUGUCUGCGGGUUUGUAUACCACGCAGCUACAAGCUCUCUCACUCACUGUCAUUUCCACCCGGAUGUCCUUCAGGUGGUGCAGUCCACCAAAACCUUUGCACUCUUCCGACAUCCACUUUGCCCUUUUCCCAUACUAAUCCUUCUUGUCCCUCGACCGCACCAUCUUGUGGAACGGUGGGAACGAGCAAUCCUUCCUCCUUGAUCCUUGCUACUUCAUCCUUCACCAUCUGCUCAAGUAUGUCAGAGGAUGGGAGGGGGAUGGGCUGAUAUGAGGUUGAGAGGUAUGGAUGGAAAGCACGGGAUAUGGCUAGCCAUUCGGGAUCGUAAGUUAAUCUUGGAGGCCCUGGGAUUGGGGGUGGGGAAGGGUCUGGGAUCUCAAGGAACUAUUUCAAACCAAUCAUUAGUUUAAAGAUAUAAUCGACCGAAAAACGGUUGAUGACAUACCUGCAUAUGGUCUUUACCAGGCCCACACUUGUCCAAUGCCAAAAACUUGGUCACACCCUCCAUCCCUUUCCCCCCGUGCAGUUCCCAUUUCUGCUGCUCUUGUCGCGCUUCUUGCAUUACACGUGAUGCAAUAGAGUCAGAAGUGGGAGGGGCUAUGGUGCCAGCAACAGGUGGAUGGGAUGGGUUAGAACGUGAUUGCGCGAUGAGGUCGGUCGAUUCAUCAAUUGUGGUGAGGGAUUGCGCCAAAGGAGCAGGGUCAUCGAAUUCGUCGUCCGAGAUGGCUAUUUCUUCAGGGUUGGAGGCGUUCGUUUUGGUAGGUGGGAGAGGUUGAAGGGGUUGAGAGACUGUGGUUGGUGCAUCGAACUCUUGGUCCGAUAUGAUUAUUUCUUCUGGAUUGAAGGCGCUAUUGGUCGUCGCUGGUAAUGGCUGAGGGACCGCGGGCGCAGGGUCGUCAAACUCAUCGUCAUCCAUCGCAAUCUCAUCCGGGUUGACCUGUCUCGGUCUAAUGAUAACCUCUUCACCCUCAUCCUCAACAAUAAUCUCAUCGGGGUUCCCCGCAUCCAUCUCUUCAUCGAUUUGAAUCUCAUCUGGGUUACCACCAGCCUGAGCUAUUACGGCCGACGUUGCCAGUAAUGGUAAGGGGGCGCCACCGUCGACAUCCGGACCAUGAUUAGGGGCUUGAUGCUCGUACAGAGCUGCAAACUUGACGUGUAGAUGGGCUGAGAACCAGUAAGAGGGUUGGAAAUGGUUCAUUAGUCUUAAGAGGGGCGGUGAACCAAGUGUGUUCUUUUCAAUCUUCGCGCGGAAGGGCUUGCGUUUGAGCAAUGCGUUCUUGUUACCAUGAUGCGCUAUUGUGGUGGGCCAGUCGUGAGAUAAGAAGAUGGUGCUAGGACUUGGUGUUAACUGGGAUUGGGUUAGCAAUGGGAUACCUGGCGACGAAGUGACUUACAUGCAUGAGCUUUUCCACAUCGUACUCGCGUAUAUGG
RNAcentral lists this small RNA (1650 nucleotides) under Cryptococcus neoformans H99. Its description in RNAcentral is "Cryptococcus neoformans var. grubii H99 hypothetical RNA". The record is from RNAcentral. Lineage: Eukaryota; Fungi; Basidiomycota; Tremellomycetes; Tremellales; Cryptococcaceae.